GUAGAUGGGUGACCCCUUCUUCCCAACCACUACAUGUGUGUGCUUCCUGAAGCUGUGCUCUUGGUCUCUCAGUAGAAUAGUAUGACCUUCCCUGACAGAGGAGGACCAUCCUUCUGUCGAAGGUAUAUGAGUAGCUGUGCUAGAAUCUCCAAACGAAUUUUCUUAGCAUCUUCUAAUGAUAAGAAAUGUAACUUUAAAAAAAUCAGUAUAAAGUCAUAGAUUUAAAUAUAU
Molecule: small RNA, 231 nt
Filed under: Mustela putorius furo (domestic ferret)
Lineage: Eukaryota; Metazoa; Chordata; Mammalia; Carnivora; Mustelidae
Description: 7SK RNA (ENSMPUG00000023495.1)
Rfam family: 7SK RNA
About the family: 7SK was discovered as an abundant small nuclear RNA in the mid-70s but a possible function has only recently been suggested. Two independent studies have found that 7SK RNA binds the CDK9/cyclin T complex (known as elongation factor P-TEFb).
Source: RNAcentral